UAAGGCCUUUAGUGGGUCCGGCGCCACGGACCAAGCGGUUCGCUGCGGUUCGCUCCGUGUUCCGGCUCCCAAACUUUGUCCUUUUCUGGAUUCCUUGCUGACAGACUGCUUCCCGUGGGACUACGAGAUGAACCAUCAAUUCUCCUGCUUGGAGCAUCACAGCUUGGCUGCUGAAAUUCUGGAGCUGAUGGCGGAGAGAAGAUGAGUGGUCUCAACAUUCAAAAUACAACAUCGAGAGGAAACCUAUUGGUGAGAGGUAAAGGCAACCUGAAGCAAUUUUUAUGAUCGGUGGAUUCUGCUUUUUUUGAAGUUGUACUGCAUAAGAAGAGGAUAUUUGAAAGUAUUCAAGUAACCAGAUCUACUGUCACCCAGGCAAGAGGUCUUCCUCACCUGAAACAAGCAGAAAGGGAGUGGUUGCUGGCCCUGUUCAAAGUCCUUGAUAAUUACUUCGACUAUGCAAGUGAUCAUGGAGUACACCUGCCUCUGAGAAAGUAAACUGUCAGCUCUCUGUGGAGUCCUACCAGGGUG
Herpailurus yagouaroundi (jaguarundi) is the source of this 528-nucleotide long non-coding RNA. RefSeq lists it as uncharacterized. NCBI's taxonomy places the organism in Eukaryota, Metazoa, Chordata, Mammalia, Carnivora, Felidae. The transcript is spliced from 4 exons. The record is from RefSeq and is a predicted model, not a curated record.